RNAcentral lists this ribosomal RNA (318 nucleotides) under uncultured Russula. Its description in RNAcentral is "eukaryotic LSU rRNA". Lineage: Eukaryota; Fungi; Basidiomycota; Agaricomycetes; Russulales; Russulaceae. The record is from RNAcentral.
UGAUCAUCGAGUCUUGACGCACAGUGCGCCUUGCAUCGAGGGCACACCGUUUGAGUGCGUGAAAUCCUCCACCUUCUUUGUUUCUUUGAACCAAGAAGGCUUGGAAUUUGAGGCUUCUGCUGGCCUCUUUCUUGAAGCCAGCUCCUCUUAAAUGGAUUAGCAGGUUCUGCUUAGCCAGAUCUCUUGACGUGAUAAGCCAUUUCUACGUCCUGGGUUGGGCUCUGUCUCUUGCUUACAAUUGUCUCUUUUAGAGACAUACAAUACACCCUUGACCUCAAAUCGGGUGAGACUACCCGCUGAACUUAAGCAUAUCAAGAG